UGGGGAAUUUUGGACAAUGGGGGCAACCCUGAUCCAGCAAUGCCGCGUGUGUGAAGAAGGCCUUCGGGUUGUAAAGCACUUUUGUCCGGAAAGAAAACGUCGUGGUUAAUACCCGUGGCGGCUGACGGUACCGGAAGAAUAAGCACCGGCUAACUACGUGCCAGCAGCCGCGGUAAUACGUAGGGUGCAAGCGUUAAUCGGAAUUACUGGGCGUAAAGCGUGCGCAGGCGGUCCGCUAAGACAGAUGUGAAAUCCCCGGGCUUAACCUGGGAACUGCAUUUGUGACUGGCGGGCUAGAGUAUGGCAGAGGGGGGUAGAAUUCCACGUGUAGCAGUGAAAUGCGUAGAGAUGUGGAGGAAUACCGAUGGCGAAGGCAGCCCCCUGGGCCAAUACUGACGCUCAUGCACGAAAGCGUGGGGAGCAAACAGGAUUCAGAUACCCUGGUAGUCCACGCCCUAAACGAUGUCAAC
This 470-nucleotide ribosomal RNA is filed under the name uncultured bacterium. Its description in RNAcentral is "partial 16S ribosomal RNA". It matches the Rfam family "Bacterial small subunit ribosomal RNA", at positions 355 to 816 of the family's 1533-position model. The record is from RNAcentral.